This 483-nucleotide ribosomal RNA is filed under the name uncultured bacterium. Its description in RNAcentral is "partial 16S ribosomal RNA". It matches the Rfam family "Bacterial small subunit ribosomal RNA", at positions 28 to 507 of the family's 1533-position model. The record is from RNAcentral.
GACGAACGCUGGCGGCGUGCUUAACACAUGCAAGUCGAACGCUGAAGCUCAGCUUUUGUUGGGUGGAUGAGUGGCGAACGGGUGAGUAACACGUGAGUAACCUGCCCCCUUCUUUGGGAUAACGCCCGGAAACGGGUGCUAAUACUGGAUAUUCACUGGUCUUCGCAUGGGGGUUGGUGGAAAGGGUUUUUCUGGUGGGGGAUGGGCUCGCGGCCUAUCAGCUUGUUGGUGGGGUGAUGGCCUACCAAGGCUUUGACGGGUAGCCGGCCUGAGAGGGUGACCGGUCACAUUGGGACUGAGAUACGGCCCAGACUCCUACGGGAGGCAGCAGUGGGGAAUAUUGCACAAUGGGCGCAAGCCUGAUGCAGCGACGCCGCGUGAGGGAUGGAGGCCUUCGGGUUGUGAACCUCUUUCGCUCAUGGUCAAGCCGCAACAAUGGUUGUGGUGAGGGUAGUGGGCAAAGAAGCGCCGGCUAACUACGUG